RNAcentral lists this long non-coding RNA (253 nucleotides) under Capsella rubella. RNAcentral's name for it is "long non-coding RNA (CRUB_LNC001677)". The record is from RNAcentral. Lineage: Eukaryota; Viridiplantae; Streptophyta; Magnoliopsida; Brassicales; Brassicaceae.
AAUUACAAAGAGAACUAAGUUCCCCCCUCGGCCUAACCCGAUGAAACCUCCAAAGCACUCUCUAGCUUGGAUGAGUCUUACAACUUAUACUAGACUUCAUCUCUAUUUAUAAUAAAAUGUAGAAGUAAAAACCUAUAAGAAAAGUAAAUAAGAAAAUUGCAACCCUAUAUAAUUUCCAAAUUAGCUAAAUAGAAAUUUUUGUAACAUUGUGGAGCGCUCCAAACCGGCCUUGUCCUCAAGGCUAGAUUCAAAA